RNAcentral lists this ribosomal RNA (482 nucleotides) under uncultured bacterium. RNAcentral's name for it is "partial 16S ribosomal RNA". It matches the Rfam family "Bacterial small subunit ribosomal RNA", at positions 29 to 507 of the family's 1533-position model. The record is from RNAcentral.
AUUGAACGCUGGCGGCAUGCCUUACACAUGCAAGUCGAACGGAAACAGGUCUUCUGAUGCUGACGAGUGGCGAACGGGUGCGUAAUACAUCGGAACGUGCCCGAUCGUGGGGGUUAACGGAGCUCAAGCAAUGCUAAUACCUCAUACGAACUACGUAUGACAGCAGGGGACCGCAAGGACAUGCGCGGCCGGAGCGGCCGAGGGCGGGGUAGGUAGUUGGGGGGAUAAAAGCUUGGCAAGCCGACGAUUUGUCGCGUGUCCGAGAGGACGAGCCGCCACACUGGGACUGAGACACGGCCCAGACUCCUGCGGGAGGCAGCAGUGGGGAAUGGUGGACAAUGGGCGAAAGCCUGAUCCAGCCAUGCCGCGUGCAGGAUGAAGGCCUUCGGGUCGUAAAGUGCUUUUGUACGGAACGAAAAGACUCUUUCUAAUAAAGAGGGUCCAUGACGGUACCGUAAGAAGAAGCACCGGCUAACUACGUG